AGCCUGCUGCCGAUAGAAGAAAACUUCCUGCUGCAAUUUAAGGGAUCACACCAGAUAGACGUGGCUACCUUCAACAAAAUAUUCGAGCAUUACGACAAGGACAAGAACGGCACAAUAUCAGGGUCCGAAUUGGAUACAUUCCUCAUGGAUAUCCUAACAGGACUUCGCCCCGACGACGAAGCGUCUAACCAGGAUCUGCAGAAAUUCAAGAAGAUGGUUAUGAAAUCGUGCGACCUGACGAAGGACGGCCAGUUGCAGAAGGAGGAGAUGGCAUUGUGGCUGGGAAUACCCAUCUCUAUUUAUUGAAUGCGUCACCCGCGAUGUGUGUGUGCGCGCGUUGAUCACUCCCCAACUUGCAUCUUUCUUUAGUCGAUUGACUUACGUUGAUCGAGUCCGCUAGAUGGCAGCACGGUGGAGUGUAUCGUCUGCGCACCUAAAAAAUCACAGGUGGAAGAUAGUAUAUGAUUGCUCUGCAAAAGUCUCAUGCCAGCUAUACCUUGGUUACUUCUGCGCUUCCUAGUGCAAUGCAGCGUACAGUUCCGCUACUCAGGGUACUAACUACUACUGUGUGAAUUACUAGGCAAAUGUCUCGCACCCUGGUGUCCAGAGGUGUUCGCAUACAAUAUGCUAGGUGCUUCCGCCCUUUUUCGGUAUACACAACACUUCAGCGUUACACCACGAGUAAGGCGUGUUGUCCGCCUCUAUUAUACGUACUUGAGCCGGCCCGAAUCUUUAACGUGUUAAAUCGGUAACUACGUUUCGUGCAUAUAUCUAAACAACGCACGGCGGCAUGGACAUCACCACUGGAACCCAUAUGCCAAGAGAGAUCCUUGUAGACUCCAUUUCAGGCUUCCGGUUUCACGAGUUCCGGGACGUCAUUUCCGAACCAGAUCGUCGUCGAGUUCGCAGCAAUGUUCGUAAGCCUUUGUCAAUAACGACCAACUGUUACCGAUGACGAUAUUACGCUAUAGCCAUCGCCGGGUCUCGAUUCGAUUAAUCUGGAUUUGAUUACUCAGUGACCAACGGCACCGAGCAAUUAAGGAAUUAAGUAUCAUUCCAUUGGUUACCUUAGCCGGUUAAUCGGCUUAAACCUUCUUAUAUAUGAUUGCUUGGUACGCUGAACCGUCUGUACGAGAUGCCUUGUCAUAAGUCUGGCUAAUUGCCAGCUUUAUAAUUAAUGAAUGUUACGUCACGUUGUGACAUCACGAUGAUGAAAUGUUUAAAAAAUUAGCAUCAUAAUUGCUGAGCGCGGUCACAACAAGUUUCUGUCGUGAGCUACAUACACAGCACACACACACACAUGUGCACAAACACACACAUACACAUACACACAGGCACACACACACACAC
Priapulus caudatus is the source of this 1350-nucleotide long non-coding RNA. RefSeq lists it as uncharacterized. NCBI's taxonomy places the organism in Eukaryota, Metazoa, Priapulida, Priapulimorpha, Priapulimorphida, Priapulidae. The record is from RefSeq and is a predicted model, not a curated record. The transcript has 4 exons.